Molecule: ribosomal RNA, 497 nt
Filed under: uncultured bacterium
Lineage: Bacteria
Description: partial 16S ribosomal RNA
Rfam family: Bacterial small subunit ribosomal RNA
Source: RNAcentral
GAUGAACGCUGGCGGCGUGCCUAAUACAUGCAAGUCGAACGAACAGAUGAGGAGCUUGCUCCUCUGACGUUAGCGGCGGACGGGUGAGUAACACGUGGAUAACCUACCUAUAAGACUGGGAUAACUUCGGGAAACCGGAGCUAAUACCGGAUAAUAUAUUGAACCGCAUGGUUCAAUAGUGAAAGACGGUUUUGCUGUCACUUGUAGAUGGAUCCGCGCCGCAUUAGCUAGUUGGUAAGGUAACGGCUUACCAAGGCAACGAUGCGUAGCCGACCUGAGAGGGUGAUCGGCCACACUGGAACUGAGACACGGUCCAGACUCCUACGGGAGGCAGCAGUAGGGAAUCUUCCGCAAUGGGCGAAAGCCUGACGGAGCAACGCCGCGUGAGUGAUGAAGGUCUUCGGAUCGUAAAACUCUGUUAUUAGGGAAGAACAAAUGUGUAAGUAACUAUGCACGUCUUGACGGUACCUAAUCAGAAAGCCACGGCUAACUACGUG